This 396-nucleotide ribosomal RNA is filed under the name Triticum aestivum (bread wheat). RNAcentral describes it as "partial small subunit ribosomal RNA". The record is from RNAcentral. Lineage: Eukaryota; Viridiplantae; Streptophyta; Magnoliopsida; Poales; Poaceae.
AUGGCUCCUACCGAGGCUGAGGAUGAUGUAGAGGAGGGAGAAGAGAAGAAGAAGAGGGAAAGGAAGGCAGCCGGAGCUGCUUUCACGUGGAUUCAAAAUAACUUUGCGACGUGCCCUCCGGAUGCAACUGAUGAUGUGAUCCAGACACAUGCUCAUGUGUAUAUGUGGUACAUUGUGUCGAGGACUUUGUUUCCCGACUCCACUGGCAAGAACGCUUCAUGGAUGUGGCUGAAGGCGUUGACCGUCUUCGAUAGCAAAUGGAGUUGGGGUUCAGCGACUCUUGCCUAUUUGUACCGACAGGUAGUUGGUCUGUUUUGUGAUCAACUCAUUUAUUCAUUAGCAAUGCAAGCUUGCUGUCAAGUUAACAUUGUUUUUCUUUCAUAUGUAGCUGGAUGA